GUUGAUCCUGCGGGAGGUUGCUGCUAGAGGGAUUCGACUAAGCCAUGCAAGUCUUCUCGUAAGAGAGGCGACAUGCUCAGUAACACGUCAUUAACGUACCCUUUGGUCGGAGAUACCCACGGGAAACUGUGGUUAAUACCCGAUAGGAGCUCAAAUCUGGAAACGAUCGAACUCUGAAACUCGUGCCAAAGGAUCGGAUGGCGGCGGAUUAGGUAGUUGGCGGUGUAACGGACCACCAAGCCGACGAUCCGUACGGGCCUUGAGAGAGGUAGCCCGGAGAGGGACACUGAGAUACUGGUCCCAGCCCUACGGGGUGCAGCAGGCGCGUAACCUUUACAAUGCACGCAAGUGUGAUAAGGGGAUCCCUCGUGCUCAUGCAUUGCAUGGGCUUUUGCUAAGUGUAAAUAGCUUGGCGAAUAAGUGGUGGGUAAGACUGGUGCCAGCCGCCGCGGUAACACCAGCGCCACGAGUGGCAACCACGAUUAUUGGGCCUAAAGCGUCCGUAGCCCGUUUGGUAAAUCCUCUGUGAAAUUGUCCGGCUUAACCGGCCAACGUGCAGGGGAGACUGCCAGACUUGGGACCGGGAGGAGUCAGAAGUAUUCCAGGGGGAGCGGUAAAAUGUUAUAAUCCCUGGAGGACUACCUGUGGCGAAGGCGUCUGACUAGAACGGAUCCGACGGUGAGGGGCGAAAGCCAGGGGAGCGAACCGGAUUAGAUACCCGAGUAGUCCUGGCCGUAAACGCUGUGAGCUAGGUGUUGCGUUAACCACGUGUUGACGCAGUGUCGAAAUGAAGAUGUUAAGCUCACCGCCUGGGAAGUACGGUCGCAAGACUGAAACUUUAAGGAAUUGGCGGGGGAGCACCACAAGGGGUGCGGCGUGCGGUUUAAUCUAACUCAACGCAGAAAACCUUACUAGAAGCGAUGGCAGGAUGAAGGUCAACUUGAAGAGUUUACCUGACGGGCCCAGAGGUGGUGCAUGGCCGCCGUCAGCUCGUGCUGUGAAGUGUCCAGCUAAGCCUGGCAACGAGCGAGACCUGUAUCUGCAAUUGCUACCGGCCACAUGUGGGACCGAGCACUUUGCAGAGACUGCCCGGGAAACCGGGAGGAAGGUGCAGGCUACGGUAGGUCUGUAUGCCCCGAAUCUUCUAGGCUACACGCGCGCAACAAUGGUUGGGACAAUGGGAUGCCACUCCGAAAGGAGAAGCUAAACCUCAAAACCCAAUCUAAGUCCAGAUUGAGGCUUGCAACUCAGCCUCAUGACGACGGAAUCCCUAGUAAUCAGAAGUCAUCAUCUUCUGGUGAAUAUGUCCCUGCUCCUUGCACACACCGCCCGUCAAAUCAACCGAGCAGGGUCUAGGUAAAACUUAGUUUUUUGAUUAAGCUGAAUCUAGGCUCAGUGAGGUGGGUUAAGUCGUCACAAGGUA
This 1423-nucleotide ribosomal RNA is filed under the name metagenome. RNAcentral describes it as "bacterial SSU rRNA". It matches the Rfam family "Archaeal small subunit ribosomal RNA". The record is from RNAcentral.